Molecule: long non-coding RNA, 1997 nt
Organism: Mustela erminea (ermine)
Lineage: Eukaryota; Metazoa; Chordata; Mammalia; Carnivora; Mustelidae
Exons: 3
Source: RefSeq, a predicted model, not a curated record
AGAUUGAGAAGGAAGUUACAGGGACAGCAGAGCAGAAAGCCUGAAGCAAAGCAGCUUGCAGAAGCAGGUGGCCUAAAAUGGCCUAGAAACCAAAGUGGAGAGCUGAAAAGAGUCAUACUUUUCCAGAAGUAUCUUCUUGAUGUUCAAAGAGAAUAUGUAACGGAAAGGUUUAGAGCAAGUUCCUGGAGUUCAGCUUCCUGGAGAGAGAAAUUCAGGUCUACCACCUCGUGGUUUUGUGACCUUGGAGUCUUUGAAGUCAAGUUUGGACUUUGCAUUUAUAACUCCUCUCAGUUCAGACUGGCUACAUUUCCAUGGCUGAGAAGCCACAUGUGGGUCUAACUAAUGUACAACCAAGAUUGAGAUCCACUGGGGUAAGGGCAUAGUUGGUACAUUGUGGACCCGCCCAAAGCUAUGGAGCUUCUGCUGACAUUACUGUUCUCUCCUUAGGAGUAGUCAUCAGUUGUGGUCAUUAGGACAUUCGAUUUAAUCCCAGUUUAUUCUUAAAAACUGAUGCCAUUUUGGAAAGCACCAAGAUCAAGUAAAGCCAAUGGAUCUGCAUAACCCAAUGCCACCAGGGUCAAGAAAGGAAAUAAGGGAACAUUAACAACGAACAAAGUGAAACAGUGACCUGUUUUGGUUCCUUCUCAAUGAACCUACAGCUGGGUAAAGGGGAAAGUGAGUAACCCAGAAUGAAUAUUGAAAGAUCCUUGGACAUUGUAUGCCACACGUGCACUCAGAACUUUCUAACUCCAAAUAUCAUUGACUAUUAAGUAGGUUGAUUCUUUUUGAAAAGAGGAUGAGGAAGAAGAGAAUUCAUCCUCUCUAUUCUUUCCUACAGUGCUCAUUCACAUUGAAAAGAAGAACCUUGUAAAUUUAUUAUGAAAGCAGAAGAGAUUUCCAAAAAGAUGAGAACAAAGAUCAGUAGUUCUACCACUGAGGGCUGACCACCAUUCGUACCUAAGUGUAUGCUAUUUCAGAGCUCAAUGGUGCAUACACUUACACAUGUUUUACUAAAAACAGUAUCCAACAGUGAGUACUCUUUCAUGCAAGCUUUUUUGUCACUUCACAAAAUUUGUGAGUAUAUUUUCAAGUAAUUUAAUAGUUUCCUGCAACAUCAUUUAAAAACACAGCACAUCGAACCUGCAUUUGGCUGAACAAUGAUCUGCUUGAUCAAUCCCCUAUAACUGGACACAUAGGCUAUCGCCCUCAAAUGGCUAAUCACACCAUAAAAACUAAAAUGAGCUCUUGCCUUAGAGCCAGCUGGGGAAGAUGCAGAAGGGAAGGAUACAUUUUAUCCACAUAGUUUCACUAAACCUGAACCACUUUGUAGUUUAUCUGGCUUGGAGAACAGCCAGCAGGGUGUAGGGAGCCGAGGAAUGCAUACUAAUGCCUUGGAAAUGAUAUCAAACAAAUGAUAUCAAACACCUUCCCGUGCCACCUGCAGUAGACACCAAGUUUUCUCACUGCUCUGCUAAGAAGGACCUUCAAACCCCAGAGGGACUCUGUUUCCUGCUUAAUAUGUCAACAGCAGCUUGUUCUUGGGUUUGAAUUGGCUUCAGCUCUUUACUUACCCCCUCCCUCUGGUCUUAAAAUUAAUCACUGCUUCCCGUAGAAUCAUUCUUGCAGUCGGUUUGUGGGUGGGUUAAAGCAAAGCGUAAUAACCCAAGAAGCCACUACAUUUAAGAUGUUAGUUUUUCUGGCAUAUAUAAUUUACCUAGUUAUUUGUUCAUGAAGCAUUUGUAUAUCAGUUUUGUGAUUGUUUUAUACGGUAUGAAAUUUCCUGGUAAUUCCCCGAGUGCCGGCUUCUCAGGCUGCCUAUGCAGGUUUUAGCCCUGCAGCAAUAAAGCAAAAAAAAAAAAAAAAAAAAAAAAAUGGCUAUAGGGCUGCAUUCAGAAAAGGCAAGCACCAGCCUUCUGAGAUGCUGAGCUGAAUUGGACAUCUCAGUUUGGGGGAACAAUAUCUCUCCUGUUUUAGUAAUUCUAUUAAAACUAUUCAUA